This 253-nucleotide ribosomal RNA is filed under the name uncultured bacterium. RNAcentral describes it as "partial 16S ribosomal RNA". It matches the Rfam family "Bacterial small subunit ribosomal RNA", at positions 524 to 776 of the family's 1533-position model. The record is from RNAcentral.
UACGAAGGGGGCUAGCGUUGUUCGGAAUUACUGGGCGUAAAGGGCGCGUAGGCGGUACUUCAAGUCAGGCGUGAAAGCCCCGGGCUCAACCUGGGAACCGCGCUUGAGACUGGAGAACUAGAGUUCGGGAGAGGAUGGUGGAAUUCCCAGUGUAGAGGUGAAAUUCGUAGAUAUUGGGAAGAACACCGAUGGCGAAGGCAGCCAUCUGGACCGACACUAACGCUGAGGCGCGAAAGCGUGGGGAGCAAACAGG